CAGUUCCGCGAUCACUGAGACCCGAACGGGACGCCACACUUUCGCUGCUGAUCCUCAUUAAAAUCAAUCGUUCGGCAACCCACCGGGGGUUGCAUCCCCAACGAUGACAGCUAGUGGUUUAUGUCGCAGCAAGAAGGUGGCUUUCCUAGUGGUCUGCGUUCUAUGGCUAAGUUGUAUCACUUCCAAAGCAUUAGUGGUGAAAGCGGGCGAAGGGUGCGAGUGGCAGUACGCGUGCUGCGAGUGGGUUCAGGUGAACGGAUCGUGCAAAAGCCUCUGCCCGAAGCCAACCAUUGUGUGUCCGGCGGAAGAAACAAGCACCAGCGAUCCGGUCAGGAUACACUCGCCGAAAGUGAUCGUGACCGCACCCUGCAAUGAAGGCUACCGGCGUGAUCAUACCCAGCGGUGUCGGAAAAUUUUUGAAGAACUUGUCUAUUUCUGAGAUCUUCUGACGGUUGAAAUCUCUCCAAUGUUUGAACAAAUGGAACGGCUGGAAGUGUCGGUACCAAAACUAUACUUCCGUUGAAGAAUAACGGAGAUAGUGACAACCAAACAAUCCAACAUCAGAGGCGUUGGACAUGCUAUUUGCAAUAAAAUCCCAACGAAUCACAUUAUCCAACAAACACACAUCGAAUCGCAGUGCAUCUGACACCACUAAACCAAUCGGACGGAAAUCGGCAAAGUGUGUCCUGCGCAUCGCGGCCUCACUCACCCCAGCAAGCAAAACCCAUCACAGCAACGUGCAGCCUUCGGUAAUCGUACAUUGACCGGGAACGGUCCACUGGAACGGACAAAGCAGUGCGCGGGGAUGGCGAAUGAUGCUGGUUUUAGUGGAAUAUUUAGUUACAUCAUAAUAGCUAAUACGCCCUGUAAUCUUAUUGGUUUUGGCAGGUUAAAGUUUCCUAUGUCAACUGAGGGUUUUUGUUGUUGCUGUUGCUAUUGUUGGCUACUGCUGGCUUGCUGGUUGGCUCACCCCACUCGCACCAGGAACUGAUUUGUAUUUAAUCCGUAGCCUUAAUUAGAUUUCACUCCUGCCCCUUCUGUCACGCCCCCACUUCAACUGCAGCAAGGACGUGUGGGCACGUGCGGUCGACGGUUGCUUUAUUCCUUCUCCUCGUUCGAUAGGCAAUCGAUACCAAAUCCGUAUCCACCGCGGACAUAUCUCUUCCUCUCUCUCUCUCUCUCUCUCUCUCUCUCUCUCUCUUUCUCUCUAUCUGCCCCCGUUUUGCUCUAUGUUUGAUGCUCCUCUUUCACUCGCUGAACCCAACGACAGGCGCUCACCCAAUACCCACGGACCCGGCCACGGCAAUAAGAUUCGCUACGACGCUUCGCUGCAAAUGGUCCGGAAUUUCCUUCCUUGUUUUGCUUCCUUCGUCAAUUUCGCUUGACCGCUGCCGAGGGAUCACCAGGCUACCGAGUGGAAAGCAGGGCUGUAGCGCAGUGGCACUAAAAUAAAAUAAAAUAAACACAAAGCACUGGUUCGGCACAAAAAAAACACAACAGGGACGAGGGAUGGAACGAGCUGGUUCGGUAUUUCCCCCCUUCCUUCUCCUCCCCUCGCAACUAGUCCAACCCAGCACGCAGACACAGUACAAAUAGAAAAAUAAUAAUGUCCGAUUCCGGAUAUUUAUCACGUGCCAUUGCCGGUGAUGUGUAAAUUCCCGUGUAUUCCGGGAUUCCUUCCGCUCUGCCCGGGACGGACGAUUUUUCAUCUUCAGCUAGCAAAACAUGCCCACGCCACCACCAACCCUCUUGCUCAGUAGAACUGUCAGAAAGCAAAUAAAUUUUACAAUUCCGUUCCAUAUCCGAUCGUUCGCACACAAACAGACACACACACACUCGGUAGCUUUCUAUUUGGUGCCCCGAACGGGUGCAAACGCUUCACGUUGCCCGUUUGCCUUUCGGUGGAAUUGUUUUAGUUCAGUGAUUUUCCUUCCUCCUUUCCCCCACCAGUGAAAUCUCUUGAGACGGCAGGAAGGCACGGCACGGAGUGAUUCUUCAUCUUUUGCCCCAAGGCCAUCGCCACUGCUAGCGGAACCGGAACCGGGCUAAAGUGGCUAUUUUUCUUGACUCGUUCCGCUCCCGGUCAAUGGCCAGACGAUCACGCUGCCUGCCGAUGCCGAUGAUGGCGACGGUGAGGAUGAUGAUGAUGAUGAUGAUGACGAUGGAAUUUAUCGAAAUUGCUUGCAGGAAACAAGAUCGACACCCCCUUCACUUAACCCGAUGCCCAAACCAAAAAAUCCGUCCACCUGUUCCGAGUAUCCGAGCUUGGCAAACCUGCUGAUACCGUUCUGCGGAUUUUCACCCGAGAAAAUUCUGUCAGAUUUCCUCCCAAAACACACACACACACUCACACAAUUAUUCGUGCGAGAAUCCCAGUAAAGGGAUUGAUAUCCUUUUGAUUUGUCGGUAUCGUUUUGUUCCGGCUUGCCGACGCAUUCCCAGGCUCCCGCGCUGUUGUGCAAUCAAACAACGGAGAAGGGCACAAAAUUGAAUUCACUAACCUCCUUUACCAUUUCUCCCACCAAGCGUUGGGUCGACGAGUCCGGUACAGACGAGAAGAAAUAAAGCAAAAAGCAUCCCGUUUGGUUCCGAUAUGUUAUGACGGGAAGUGUAAACCCUUCAAACGGCAGCAGGCCUGUUCGAUUUGACACGAUAACGCAUGAACCUCCCGGGACCGUGGCGGAGGGGUUUGAGGUCAGAAAAAUGGGUUCGGGAAAAAAGGCACCGGGGAAAAUUGGGAACAUCACAAUGAAGGAUGCGGAUAUAGGAGCGUGUAAGAGAAUAGUACAGGCAAAAAACAGGAAGAAGAAAAAAGAAACAUCAACAUGUCAAGCAGGAAAGCAGGAAAACAACCGAAAUCUGAUAAUCCUUUUCAAAUCAUCCUACGUAUUGUGUGCUUGUGUGCCGGGUGGGUAAGCUGGGUGGCAGCGAGGGCAGUGCUGUCGGCGUCUCGGGGCAAGUGUCAUCAUCGGCAAAAAUGGCACAAAAUCAAUGUCUGUGCCGAUGAUUGGUCUGGCGCAUUCGCGGUGACGAGUUAAGUGCGAUCGUGUUAUGCCGCCGUAGUCCGUUUCGCCUUAUAUUUCGUCCUUCGCUGCCAGCGCCACCAUUCUUUCCCGGUUCUUAAUGCUGAGGCGCGGGAUCGAAACAAAGAAAACAUUUCUGCUGGUUUAUUACAAUCAUUUCCCCCGGGGGCGAUGCACACCCGUCAGUUGCCCGUACUCGAUAGACCGCGGUAGACUAGGGGCCGGUUUGCCCCCGACGGGUAUAAAACACCUCCGGGGCGCAAACCUCGGCGCAAAACACAGGAUCGUAUGAAGUACGUGUAAUUGAAAUUUGAAUCACUUCAAAGUUGUUUCAAGUUGACAAAAGUAUGGCUAAAGCCCCGAGGCCAUAUUUGGGUUGGCGAAGGAUAAACGUAAACUUUCGGUGACGUGUAUGUGUGUGUGUGUGUGUGUGUGUGUGGAAGCAAUCAACAGCAGCGUGGCUAAGCCGGUCCGUCGUGAUCAAAGCAAAUUGGCUUAGUUUUUGAAUGCCAAUGACAAGAAAAGCGGAAGAUUACCAUAAUCAUGAUUCAUAUAGGGUAGGGUAGAUUUGUUGUUUGUUUGUAGAAAAAGACUUAAAAUAGGAUAAAAGAUGAGAUUGCAAUUACACAUUCAUCUAUUGAGUUAUGUUAAUAGAUUGUUCAAUAGAAUAGCAGAUAUGUAUUUUUAGUUAUUAAUGGAUGUUUAGUACAGAAAAUUUACCUUUUAACCAAAUCAUAAUGUAAAAAUGUGGCUAAGCUAACAUAAUAUAAAGAACUAGUUAUUGAAGCAUUUACUAUUAUUUUCUAAUCAACAAAAAGGUUAAUAAAACCUUUUAUUAACAUUUUUUAGACUUAUUAUGUUUGGAUUUCAUCUACAUUAUUACCAAAAAAAUGAAGCGUAAAAUGAAUCGUCAAAUCUUUUAUCUCAAUUUGACGUUGAGAAGACUUGAUUGAUGGGAUAGAAUAAGCCUCUUCGUGAGUUCAAGCAAAAUAUUAGGUAAGAAAUACGCCUAUCUACAGCAGACUUAAAACGCUUCUGGCUAUUAUUGGAAUAUUGUUUACCAAAGUGCAAUAGAAAUGAACAUCUGAGUGGAGCGGUAUGCAAAAUUCUGCCUUCUCCAGGUCCAUUUAAUUAAACAUCACUGCUCCACCGAAGAAAC
Molecule: long non-coding RNA, 4182 nt
Organism: Anopheles arabiensis
Lineage: Eukaryota; Metazoa; Arthropoda; Insecta; Diptera; Culicidae
Exons: 3
Source: RefSeq, a predicted model, not a curated record